This 379-nucleotide long non-coding RNA is filed under the name Panax ginseng (ginseng). Its description in RNAcentral is "long non-coding RNA (PGIN_LNC018803)". The record is from RNAcentral. Lineage: Eukaryota; Viridiplantae; Streptophyta; Magnoliopsida; Apiales; Araliaceae.
UUUUUUACAAAUAUUCAUAAUAAGACCGAAGACAAUCCAUAAGCUGGUGCUUCAUGCAGCGCCAUCAUCAUCCGAAGAGUCCAGCAGGUACGGAUCUAAGUUAGCCUUGAUCAGCUUUUCCUUGCCAAGACUUCGGCAGAGCUCGUAGCUUUCUUUGUGAAUCCUCAUGAUUUCUCCGUUUAUUUCGUCCGAGUUCCUAUACUCUUCACAAAUUUCUUUGCGAAGAGCAUCAGUCAAAGGAGGCCCAAGGUCCCGAAGAGCCUUGAGUUCUCGGAUUUCUUGCUCGAGCUGCUGCCGUAUAUUCAGUUGAUGCUUUUCAUCCCGCUCCAUCUUAUGGAUCGUCUUGGUCAAGAUUUUGGCAUUGGACUUCAACUCCUUG